RNAcentral lists this transfer RNA (68 nucleotides) under Photobacterium damselae subsp. piscicida. RNAcentral's name for it is "tRNA-OTHER". The record is from RNAcentral. Lineage: Bacteria; Pseudomonadati; Pseudomonadota; Gammaproteobacteria; Vibrionales; Vibrionaceae.
GGGCGAUUAGCUCAGUUGGAGAGCACUCCCUUACGAGGGGGUCACUGGUUCAGCCGGUAUCGCCACCA